UUUUGUACGGAACGAAACGGCCUUUUCUAAUAAAGAGGGCUAAUGACGGUACCGUAAGAAUAAGCACCGGCUAACUACGUGCCAGCAGCCGCGGUAAUACGUAGGGUGCAAGCGUUAAUCGGAAUUACUGGGCGUAAAGCGUGCGCAGGCGGUUAUGUAAGACAGUUGUGAAAUCCCCGGGCUCAACCUGGGAACUGCAUCUGUGACUGCAUAGCUAGAGUACGGUAGAGGGGGAUGGAAUUCCGCGUGUAGCAGUGAAAUGCGUAGAUAUGCGGAGGAACNCNCGAUGGUAAAGGCAAUCCCCUGGACCUGUACUGACGCUCAUGCACGAAAGCGUG
This 338-nucleotide ribosomal RNA is filed under the name bacterium EJ10-94. RNAcentral's name for it is "bacterial SSU rRNA". It matches the Rfam family "Bacterial small subunit ribosomal RNA", at positions 434 to 763 of the family's 1533-position model. The record is from RNAcentral.